Molecule: ribosomal RNA, 552 nt
Filed under: uncultured fungus
Lineage: Eukaryota; Fungi
Description: eukaryotic LSU rRNA
Rfam family: 5.8S ribosomal RNA (bases 186-339)
Source: RNAcentral
AAGUCGUAACAAGGUCUCCGUUGGUGAACCAGCGGAGGGAUCAUUACUGAGUACUACACUCUCUACCCUUUGUGAACUAUUAUACCUGUUGCUUCGGCGGCGCCCGCAAGGGUGCCCGCCGGUCUCAUCAGAAUCUCUGUUUUCGAACCCGACGAUACUUCUGAGUGUUCUUAGCGAACUGUCAAAGCUUUUAACAACGGAUCUCUUGGCUCCAGCAUCGAUGAAGAACGCAGCGAAACGCGAUAUGUAAUGUGAAUUGCAGAAUUCAGUGAAUCAUCGAAUCUUUGAACGCACAUGGCGCCUUCCAGUAUCCUGGGAGGCAUGCCUGUCCGAGCGUCGUUUCAACCCUCGAGCCCCUGUGGCCCGGCGUUGGGGAUCUGCCACGGCAGGCCCCUAAAACCAGUGGCGGACCCGAAGGGCCCUCUCCUUUGCGCAGUAGCAUUCGCCUCGCAUCGGGAGUCCUCGGCGUCCUGCCUCUAAACCCCCCACAAGCCCGCUUCGGCGGCACCAAUGGUUGACCUCGGAUCAGGUAGGAAUACCCGCUGAACUUAA